RNA transcript from Helianthus annuus (common sunflower), 3128 nucleotides. RefSeq lists it as uncharacterized. The record is from RefSeq and is a predicted model, not a curated record. The transcript has 8 exons. NCBI's taxonomy places the organism in Eukaryota, Viridiplantae, Streptophyta, Magnoliopsida, Asterales, Asteraceae.
CUCACAAUUUAGUUCUUUGGAUGUGAAUGCUCUUAGCUCCAUCUUCUCUCUUUCUCAUGUAUAUUGAACAGCUCCAUCUUUUCUCUCUUUCUCAGAACACCACCGAUUUGAAGAUUAAAUCUGGGAGAUAUGACGUCGAAUAAGUUCGUUCUUCCGAUUCAACAACCAUCAGUUUAUAGGGAAUCAAGUCUGCAAAGAUCGGUGGCUAUGGAGAAGAGUUCCCGGCUGUAGAUGGUGAUUGAGGUAGGUUCCGAUAGACAAACUGAGGUUGCAGAGUACACCAGCAGUUAACUACUCUGAGGAUCAUUGUCAAAACUGGGUAAAGAUGGUGAUGACUUAAGUUUGUAAAUGACGCUUUGUUGAGUCACAAAAGCAACACAGAAAAGAGUCGGGGAUUGUGUGCUGCUUUCAGAAAGCAAGAAUACAAGAACACCAUAAAGCCCCCACACAUAUGUAAUGAUGUUUGUUGAUUGUUGAAUGCUAUGUGUUUGUUGAUGCUAUACUUCGAUUUAUGUUUUAUUUUACUAGACGAUAUCUUCGGAGCAAAUUUAAUAUUGUGAUCUAUGAUUUUCAUUUCAAGUUUGGUACCGGUUAUAAGAAGUAUUUUGUAUGGUGCUAUUUGAAGUAAAAAUUUAAUAUUUCUGCAUGAUUGAAGUAAAAAUCGCUAGGUGCUAUUUGUAGAAAGGUGUGUACUGUAUGGGGUAUAGCCCGAGUUGACCCAUUUACCCGUAAACCGAUCAAAAUUCCCAGCUCUUGUUAAAUACUUCUGGAUAAGUGUAUUGAGAUUUUUUUGGUUACUGUCGUUUGAUAAAUGACGUGGCUCUUUCUUAAACCAGGGAAGGGUUUCGGUCCAGGUGCACAUAUGCAUGGAACCGAUGAGGUUUGGUAUGACGAUGCGUCACAGGAAGCCAUUGAAAACUGGCCCGAUAGGCCUUCUGACCCGCCAAGAAUGCUGCAUUUGGGCGCUUUUGGGUGGGUUAACACGCUUCACCCAUCCGACGAUCAUAAUAUUUACAGCUUGGAACUCCGAGAACUUUUAAGCUGGUAACAUCUUCCUAAGGAGGGCCUUUGAAUUUGUCAAACACUUUUGACAUCUGAUUAUUACAAUUUCAGACAAUAAAUAACAUCUAAACACUAUUUUUUGAGUAAAAUGCCAAUUUCGUUCCUGAGAUUUGGCCAGUUUUACGACUUUUCUCUCGAGCGGUUAUUACCGGUUAUGGUUUCGGUUAAUAACGGGUUCGAGUCUUAAGCCACUCCCGAGUUUUCUAUUGCAUUGCGGUUACUCCGGCUCUUAUGAGUGCGGAGGCUGCAACGGUAGUCAUGUGGCUGUUGGCUGGAAAUUUUCUCGGGGAGCGCUUGGUCACUUUCGGAUGCCUCGCCCGAGGGUGACUAAGGACCCAUGGAUGUGUCACUUCGGAUGCAUGUGUGUGCGAAGACCUCUCGCCUCUUGGAGUUAGUAGCCGUUCAAAAAAAUAUGAUACAAAAUAUUGAAAAUAGUUUAAAAGGAGAUUAAUGUUCAUUGACUGAAAAAAGUUCAUUUUCCAUUUAAAUUUCACAAUUAAAGAUUUACUGAGAUUGGACGACAUGAAUUCCUAUCAUUAAAAAUAAUAUGUUGCUAGCUAAAUCUACUUUUUUAAAUGUUUCUUGUGUGUUUAUUGUGGAACUGUCUCUUGAAAUAACUAUAGUGAUUAUUCAUGUAUGAAUUGAAUUUUACUUGUCUGAAAAACUUUCUUAAAUGUGUUAAUCUUAUGAUCUUUAUAGUUUAUCUUGCUGAAUUUUAGGACAUAUGAUAUGGAUAAUAAAGCAAUUGGAGAAAUAGGGUCUUUGGUUUUCAUAAAGCAAGGUGCUAAAGUUGUGGGCAUUACGGUUGUUGGCAGCAGCUCUGGCCAGCUUGCAAACCAUUAUAGAGACGGAACCAGGGCCCACAUGAAGGCAUUCAGGUCCCGCUUACUAGCAUAUUACCGCAAGUACAAGUAGAAGCUAUUCUUUGGGGCCUCGUAACCGCAUUAGGAAAGCUCCCUCCAUAUUGUAUUCAAGAGCAGCGAGUCUCUCAGGCGAGAUAGUAGAUGCUGCAGAAGAAGUAAAGAACUAGAUGGAUCUUCAUCAGAUAAUCAUGGAUUUGCAUCAAUCUUAAAUCGUUUAAAACGUUGGUUCCUGUCACAUGCACAAUAUUUGAGUUUUUUUUCACAAUUUUGGUGCUUGCUUUGGUGCCAAAUCCUCUAUUUGACCUUACUCGCAUAAUGUGCGGGCAAUUUGGAAUUCCAUUUUGGGAGUUUUUUUUCGCAACCCUUAUGGAGACGGAAUCAGGGCCCACAUGAAGGCAUUCAGGUCCCGCUUACUAGCAUGUUACCGCAAGUGAUGUCGGAAGCGCACCAACAAAGACUGCAGUGAAAAAGAUCAAGUAAUCCGCCAGCUAUCAUCACGGUUGAGUGGAAAAAGUUGUGUGAUAAACGAGUUAGUUAAGUAACACAGUCAAAGAAAGAGAACAGCAAAUUAAGAAGAUAUCAGAUUGCGCAGCCGGUGCGUUUGUGGUUGCGAACCGGUUUUCUGAGAUUAAAGACGGUUUAAAUAAAGCGCUGAUGCAGAAAGACGCGGAGCUUGAAUCAAGGUGAAAACAUGGGCGAAGCUAUUGAACACGUUUUGCACAAGCGAAAAGCUUGAGCUCGAACUACUUUACAAAGUUCAAGUUCAGUGUUACGAAGAUACGAAGCUAAUGAAGUUGUUCCAUGAAGUUGUGAGGUCUCUUUAUGACCAAGACGUUCUUGCUGAAGACACGAUACUUCAUUGGGUCGCUAAAGGAACCAACCCAAAACGAAGCUAUGUAUAUUUUAUAGUCUCACGCAAAAUUCAUUUGAACUCGAUCGAUAAGAAACAAGAAGUUAGAGAUCCUGAUUUUUACGGUGCAGGCAAAGCUUUGUGAAGGCGUUGGAGCCGUUUGUGAAGUGGCUGGAAGAGGCAGAAGAGGAGGAAUAGAUAUUUGUCCAUCUUUUCUCUUUAAUUCGAGUGUUUAAACUUUGAAAUUUUCUGUUAACUUUUAACCUUGUUUUUUUAACUGCUGUUAUUUGUCACAAAUUUUUAUGUUGCUGGAUUGAAUUUAAUAAUCUAUGUUUGUUAAGUUUGACGACUUC